Molecule: long non-coding RNA, 365 nt
Filed under: Anser brachyrhynchus (Pink-footed goose)
Lineage: Eukaryota; Metazoa; Chordata; Aves; Anseriformes; Anatidae
Description: lncRNA (ENSABRG00000011481.1)
Source: RNAcentral
AGCCUUGGGCAGAGGAGACUGACUUCUACCACAUAACUGUCUUGAGAUUGCAAUUUUAAUGGGAUUACAGUAGGCAUAAAGAAAAUGGGAUUUAAAUUAGUGCAUCUAUAAAUCCUGAACUAUGAAGAGACAAGUACCUCUGAAGAAGAUCUACAAGGUACAAUAAUGCAGAAGGCAGUUUUAUCUUCUUAUCUGCGCCUUCAGUCUGGUCCAGAGACUGAAAAGGAAAUACCAAUACUGCCUGUGCAGAGUACAUUACUUGAGUGAGAAGGGACAUACAUAGAACCUAAUGGCUGCAAGCAGCUGGCGACAAGCACAGUACAAAGGUAGCAGUCAGUUUCCUGCAUGGCUCUGAUAAUACACCU